GUCAACUAGUCUGAGACUGGUAUAAAGGGUGCCCUGGCCCCUGCUCAGCUCAACAUCCCACUAGAAGCCUGUCCAGCCAUCCUUCCUGUGGGCCUGUUGCACAUCCAGCUCAGAAUGUCUCAGCAGAAGCAGUGCUGUCCCCCACCCCAGCAGUGCUACCCCGCACCCAUGCAGUGCUGCCCCCCACCCCAGCAGUGCUACCCCGCACCCAUGCAGUGCUACCCUCCACCCCUGCAGUGCUACCUUGCACCCCAGCAGUGCUACCCUGCACCCAUGCAGUGCUACACCCCACCCCAGAAAAACUGAGGUUGGACAUGUGACCAGAAGCCAAGCUCCCAGGAAAAGCAGAGAAGAAAUCAACCACCUCCCUCCAACAGCCAGAUGUCAGCUGCACUCACCUGCAGCCAAGCUCUGAAAAAGGCAGCACCAGGAUGACAGCUUCCUCAAUUUCUACCACUUCUGGCAGCUGCAAUUUCCAUCCCAGACAAGGAUCUGGUCCUAACCUGUCGAAUCGUCUUUGCUGACAUGUACCUACAUCACCCUGUUGGCUUUUGGAAACCUGGCUCUCCUGCCCGGACACCCUACCCUCUCACUGUUCCCUCUGCUCCUGUUUUCAAACAAUUAAAUGUAAUUCCUCU
This is a long non-coding RNA of Myotis brandtii (Brandt's bat), 638 nucleotides long. RefSeq lists it as uncharacterized. NCBI's taxonomy places the organism in Eukaryota, Metazoa, Chordata, Mammalia, Chiroptera, Vespertilionidae. The record is from RefSeq and is a predicted model, not a curated record. The transcript is spliced from 2 exons.